GGACCGGGAGCCGCACGGGGCAGCAGGUGAAGACCUGCGGGGCGGGUCCGAUUCCCGCCCGGUUCA
RNAcentral lists this transfer RNA (66 nucleotides) under [Clostridium] symbiosum. RNAcentral describes it as "tRNA-OTHER". Lineage: Bacteria; Bacillati; Bacillota; Clostridia; Lachnospirales; Lachnospiraceae. RNAcentral also lists the same sequence under 5 other names. The record is from RNAcentral.